This 526-nucleotide ribosomal RNA is filed under the name uncultured bacterium. RNAcentral's name for it is "bacterial SSU rRNA". It matches the Rfam family "Bacterial small subunit ribosomal RNA", at positions 355 to 896 of the family's 1533-position model. The record is from RNAcentral.
CAAGGAAUUUUGGGCAAUGGGCGAAAGCCUGACCCAGCGACGCCGCGUGGGGGAUGAAGGCCCUCGGGUCGUAAACCCCUUUUCUCAGGGAAGAAUAAUGACGGUACCUGAGGAAUAAGUCUCGGCUAACUACGUGCCAGCAGCCGCGGUAAUACGUAGGAGGCGAGCGUUAUCCGGAUUUACUGGGCGUAAAGAGAGCGUAGGCGGUUCUUCAAGUCGGAUGUAAAAUCUCCCGGCUCAACUGGGAGGGACCAUCCGAUACUGUAGGGCUAGAGGGCAGCAGAGGGAGGUGGAAUUCCCGGUGUAGUGGUGACAUGCGUAGAUAUCGGGAGGAACACCAGUGGCGAAGGCGGCCUCCUGGGCUGUUUCUGACGCUGAGGCUCGAAAGCGUGGGUAGCGAACAGAAUUAGAUACUCUGGUAGUCCACGCCGUAAACGAUGGACACUAGGUAUGGGGGGUAUCGACCCUCUCCGUGCCGAAGCUAACGCGUUAAGUGUCCCGCCUGGGGACUACGGCCGCAAGGCUA